This 615-nucleotide ribosomal RNA is filed under the name uncultured Bacteroidota bacterium. RNAcentral describes it as "bacterial SSU rRNA". It matches the Rfam family "Bacterial small subunit ribosomal RNA", at positions 844 to 1468 of the family's 1533-position model. Lineage: Bacteria; Pseudomonadati; Bacteroidota. The record is from RNAcentral.
CGACUGAACGAAAGCAUUAAGUGAUCCACCUGGGAAGUACGAUCGCAAGGUUGAAACUCAAAGGAAUUGACGGGGGCCCGCACAAGCGGAGGAGCAUGUGGUUUAAUUCGAUGAUACGCGAGGAACCUUACCUGGGCUUAAAUGCAGGACGACCGUCCGUGAAAACGGACUUUCCUUCGGGACGGCUUGCAAGGUGCUGCAUGGUUGUCGUCAGCUCGUGCCGUGAGGUGUCGGGUUAAGUCCCAUAACGAGCGCAACCCCUAUUCUUAGCUGCCAUCAGGUAAUGCUGGGGACUCUAAGAAAACUGCCUACGCAAGUAGUGAGGAAGGCGGGGAUGACGUCAAAUCAGCACGGCCCUUAUGUCCAGGGCUACACACGUGCUACAAUGGCCGGUACAGAGGGUCGCUACCUGGUGACAGGAUGCUAAUCUCGAAAACCGGUCUCAGUUCGGAUCGAAGUCUGCAACUCGACUUCGUGAAGCUGGAUUCGCUAGUAAUCGCAUAUCAGCAAUGGUGCGGUGAAUACGUUCCCGGGCCUUGUACACACCGCCCGUCAAGCCAUGGAAGCUGGGGGUACCUGAAGUCUGUGACCGCAAGGAGCGGCCUAGGGUAAAAC